AUGUAUUACUACGCGUGCACUCCGUUGCUGAGCGUUCCGUCUAUAGCCACCUGGCGGUUGCUCGCUGCGGUUUGUGAGCC
This 80-nucleotide small RNA is filed under the name Xanthomonas sp. NCPPB 1560. RNAcentral's name for it is "sX9 sRNA". It matches the Rfam family "Xanthomonas sRNA sX9". The record is from RNAcentral. Lineage: Bacteria; Pseudomonadati; Pseudomonadota; Gammaproteobacteria; Lysobacterales; Lysobacteraceae. RNAcentral also lists the same sequence under 7 other names.